UGCGUAGGCGGAAUGAUAAGUCAGUAGUGAAAUCCUACAGCUUAACUGUAGAACUGCCAUUGAUACUGUUGUUCUUGAGUACAUUUGAAGUGGGCGGAAUGUGUCAUGUAGCGGUGAAAUGCAUAGAGAUGACACAGAACACCGAUCGCGAAGGCAGCUCACUAAACUGUAACUGACGCUGAGGCACGAAAGCGUGGGGAUCAAACAGGAUUAGAUACCCUGGUAGUCC
RNAcentral lists this ribosomal RNA (229 nucleotides) under uncultured bacterium. Its description in RNAcentral is "partial 16S ribosomal RNA". It matches the Rfam family "Bacterial small subunit ribosomal RNA", at positions 568 to 796 of the family's 1533-position model. The record is from RNAcentral.